UACUAAGCGGAGGAAAAGAAACCAACGGGGAUUCCCAUAGUAACUGCGAGUGAAAGGGGAACAGCCCAGCGCCGAAUCCUGUUGCUGGUAACGGUGACAGGAACUGUGGCGUGAAGAAGGUGGUUACCGGUGUGGCUUGUUUGCGUAAGUUCUCCUGAGUGAGGCUCCAUCCCAUGGAGGGUGCAAGGCCCGUAUCGUGAACAGUUGAUGCCGGUGUACAUCUUCGGAGAGUCGCCUUGUUUGUGAGUACAAGGUGAAGUCGGUGGUAAACUCCAUCGAAGGCUAAAUAUGACCACGAGUCCGAUAGCGAACAAGUACCGUGAGGGAAAAUUGAAAAGCACUUUGAAGAGAGAGCGAAACAGUGCGUGAAACCGCUCAGAGGCAAGCAGAUGGGGCCUCGAAGGCAAAGCAGUGAAUUCAGCCGGUGUGGUGCGUGGCUGGUCGGUGUUGGGAUCGCAAGACCCUAGCUGAUUACGCUCGCGUGCUGGCCGGUGCAUUUUCGCUGUUUGUACGUCACCGCCGUUGAGCGAGCAUCCGUCGGGUAUGCGUGUGAAGCCUUAUUCCUUCGGGCGUAGGUGCUUACUGCUAACUUGUACGCGUUUGCGCCUCAACUGGUCAUGUCAGCGUGUGCCAGCGUUAGCGUUGGGCCGGUAUGCUCUGCGGUGUGUUGUGGGAUGACGAGCUUGCUCGGCUCCUCGGCACGCAGUGGACUCGUUGCCGGUUUUCAACGUAGGCACAUUGUAGAUUCGGUGGCGAGUAGACGGCUGCCCAUCUAACCC
This 779-nucleotide ribosomal RNA is filed under the name Paramacrobiotus sp. RNAcentral describes it as "partial large subunit ribosomal RNA". It matches the Rfam family "Eukaryotic large subunit ribosomal RNA", at positions 44 to 650 of the family's 3401-position model. Lineage: Eukaryota; Metazoa; Tardigrada; Eutardigrada; Parachela; Macrobiotidae. The record is from RNAcentral.